This 1263-nucleotide ribosomal RNA is filed under the name uncultured Marinobacter sp. RNAcentral's name for it is "bacterial SSU rRNA". It matches the Rfam family "Bacterial small subunit ribosomal RNA", at positions 91 to 1350 of the family's 1533-position model. Lineage: Bacteria; Pseudomonadati; Pseudomonadota; Gammaproteobacteria; Pseudomonadales; Marinobacteraceae. The record is from RNAcentral.
ACGAGCGGCGGACGGGUGAGUAAUGCUUAGGAAUCUGCCCAGUAGUGGGGGACAACAGUCGGAAACGGCUGCUAAUACCGCAUACGCCCUACGGGGGAAAGCAGGGGAUCUUCGGACCUUGCGCUAUUGGAUGAGCCUAAGUCGGAUUAGCUAGUUGGUGGGGUAAAGGCCUACCAAGGCGACGAUCCGUAGCUGGUCUGAGAGGAUGAUCAGCCACAUCGGGACUGAGACACGGCCCGAACUCCUACGGGAGGCAGCAGUGGGGAAUAUUGGACAAUGGGGGCAACCCUGAUCCAGCCAUGCCGCGUGUGUGAAGAAGGCUUUCGGGUUGUAAAGCACUUUCAGCGAGGAGGAAGGCUCUAAAGUUAAUACCUUUAGGGAUUGACGUUACUCGCAGAAGAAGCACCGGCUAACUCCGUGCCAGCAGCCGCGGUAAUACGGAGGGUGCAAGCGUUAAUCGGAAUUACUGGGCGUAAAGCGCGCGUAGGUGGUUAGGUAAGCGAGAUGUGAAAGCCCCGGGCUUAACCUGGGAACGGCAUUUCGAACUGUCUGACUAGAGUGUGGUAGAGGGUAGUGGAAUUUCCUGUGUAGCGGUGAAAUGCGUAGAUAUAGGAAGGAACACCAGUGGCGAAGGCGGCUACCUGGACCAACACUGACACUGAGGUGCGAAAGCGUGGGGAGCAAACAGGAUUAGAUACCCUGGUAGUCCACGCCGUAAACGAUGUCAACUAGCCGUUGGGACUCUUGAAGUCUUAGUGGCGCAGCUAACGCACUAAGUUGACCGCCUGGGGAGUACGGCCGCAAGGUUAAAACUCAAAUGAAUUGACGGGGGCCCGCACAAGCGGUGGAGCAUGUGGUUUAAUUCGACGCAACGCGAAGAACCUUACCUGGCCUUGACAUCCAGAGAACUUUCCAGAGAUGGAUUGGUGCCUUCGGGAACUCUGAGACAGGUGCUGCAUGGCCGUCGUCAGCUCGUGUCGUGAGAUGUUGGGUUAAGUCCCGUAACGAGCGCAACCCCUAUCCCUGGUUGCUAGCAGGUAAUGCUGAGAACUCCAGGGAGACUGCCGGUGACAAACCGGAGGAAGGUGGGGAUGACGUCAGGUCAUCAUGGCCCUUACGGCCAGGGCUACACACGUGCUACAAUGGUACGUACAGAGGGCUGCCAACUCGCGAGAGUGAGCCAAUCCCUUAAAACGUAUCGUAGUCCGGAUCGGAGUCUGCAACUCGACUCCGUGAAGUCGGAAUCGCUAGUAAUCGCGAAUC